AUGCACGCUGGCGGCGUGCUUAACACAUGCAAGUCGAACGAAGCACUUUAACCUGAUUCUUCGGAUGAAGGUUUUUGUGACUGAGUGGCGGACGGGUGAGUAACGCGUGGGUAACCUGCCUCAUACAGGGGGAUAACAGUUAGAAAUGACUGCUAAUACCGCAUAAGACCACAGAGCCGCAUGGCUCGGUGGGAAAAACUCCGGUGGUAUGAGAUGGACCCGCGUCUGAUUAGGUAGUUGGUGGGGUAACGGCCUACCAAGCCAACGAUCAGUAGCCGACCUGAGAGGGUGACCGGCCACAUUGGGACUGAGACACGGCCCAAACUCCUACGGGAGGCAGCAGUGGGGAAUAUUGCACAAUGGGGGAAACCCUGAUGCAGCGACGCCGCGUGAGCGAAGAAGUAUUUCGGUAUGUAAAGCCCUAUCAGCAGGGAAGAAAAUGACGGUACCUGACUAAGAAGCACCGGCUAAAUACGUG
Molecule: ribosomal RNA, 478 nt
Filed under: uncultured bacterium
Lineage: Bacteria
Description: partial 16S ribosomal RNA
Rfam family: Bacterial small subunit ribosomal RNA
Source: RNAcentral